UUAAAUUGAAGAGUUUGAUCAUGGCUCAGAUUGAACGCUGGCGGCAGGCCUAACACAUGCAAGUCGAACGGUAGCACAGAGAGCUUGCUCUCGGGUGACGAGUGGCGGACGGGUGAGUAAUGUCUGGGAAACUGCCUGAUGGAGGGGGAUAACUACUGGAAACGGUAGCUAAUACCGCAUAA
RNAcentral lists this ribosomal RNA (182 nucleotides) under Kosakonia oryziphila. RNAcentral's name for it is "16S rRNA. Bacterial SSU". It matches the Rfam family "Bacterial small subunit ribosomal RNA", at positions 1 to 176 of the family's 1533-position model. The record is from RNAcentral. Lineage: Bacteria; Pseudomonadati; Pseudomonadota; Gammaproteobacteria; Enterobacterales; Enterobacteriaceae.